ACGGAAGGCAGCAGUGAGGAAUAUUGGUCAAUGGACGGAAGUCUGAACCAGCCAAGUCGCGUGAAGGAUGAAGGUAUUAUGUAUUGUAAACUUCUUUAGCAGUGGAGUAAUAAGGGGAUCGCGAUCCCUGAUGCAAGUACACUGAGAAUAAGGAUCGGCUAACUCCGUGCCAGCAGCCGCGGUAAUACGGAGGAUCCGAGCGUUAUCCGGAUUUAUUGGGUUUAAAGGGUGCGCAGGCGGACCUUUAAGUCAGCGGUGAAAUCCCGUAGCUCAACUACGGAACUGCCGUUGAUACUGGAGGCCUUGAGUCGUGUCGAGGAUGGCGGAAUGCAGCGUGUAGCGGUGAAAUGCUUAGAUAUGCUGCAGAACUCCGAUUGCGAAGGCAGCUGUCCAGAGACGAACUGACGCUGAGGCACGAAAGCAUGGGUAUCAAACAGGAUUAGAUACCCUGGUA
This 454-nucleotide ribosomal RNA is filed under the name uncultured Bacteroides sp. Its description in RNAcentral is "partial 16S ribosomal RNA". It matches the Rfam family "Bacterial small subunit ribosomal RNA", at positions 341 to 792 of the family's 1533-position model. The record is from RNAcentral. Lineage: Bacteria; Pseudomonadati; Bacteroidota; Bacteroidia; Bacteroidales; Bacteroidaceae.